RNAcentral lists this ribosomal RNA (444 nucleotides) under uncultured bacterium. RNAcentral describes it as "bacterial SSU rRNA". It matches the Rfam family "Bacterial small subunit ribosomal RNA", at positions 338 to 795 of the family's 1533-position model. The record is from RNAcentral.
CCUACGGGUCGCAGCAGUGGGGAAUCUUGGACAAUGGGCGAAAGCCCGAUCCAGCAAUAUCGCGUGAGUGAAGAAGGGCAAUGCCGCUUGUAAAGCUCUUUCGUCGAGUGCGCGAUCAUGACAGGACUCGAGGAAGAAACCCCGGCUAACUCCGUGCCAGCAGCCGCGGUAAUACGGAGGGUGCGAGCGUUAAUCGGAAUUACUGGGCGUAAAGCGCAUGCAGGCGGCCUGUUAAGUCAGAUGUGAAAGCCCGGGGCUUAACCUCGGAAUUGCAUUUGAAACUGGCAGGCUAGAGUCUUGUAGAGGGGGGUAGAAUUCCAGGUGUAGCGGUGAAAUGCGUAGAGAUCUGGAGGAAUACCGGUGGCGAAGGCGGCCCCCUGGACGAAGACUGACGCUCAGGUGCGAAAGCGUGGGGAGCAAACAGGAUUAGAUACCCGGGUAGUC